RNAcentral lists this ribosomal RNA (253 nucleotides) under uncultured bacterium. Its description in RNAcentral is "partial 16S ribosomal RNA". It matches the Rfam family "Bacterial small subunit ribosomal RNA", at positions 524 to 776 of the family's 1533-position model. The record is from RNAcentral.
UACGUAGGGCGCGAGCGUUGUCCGGAAUUAUUGGGCGUAAAGAGCUCGUAGGCGGCCUGUUGCGUCCGCUGUGAAAUCCCGGGGCUUAACCCCGGGCGUGCAGUGGAUACGGGCUGGCUGGAGGCAGGCAGGGGAGAACGGAAUUCCCGGUGUAGCGGUGAAAUGCGCAGAUAUCGGGAGGAACACCGGUGGCGAAGGCGGUUCUCUGGGCCUGUACUGACGCUGAGGAGCGAAAGCGUGGGGAGCGAACAGG